GUCGAGGACGGCAGCUACGGCGCGUGCAUGUCUUUCGUUCGGGACAAAAAGGCCGUGGGUUCAAAUCCCGCCGCCCCGACA
RNAcentral lists this transfer RNA (81 nucleotides) under Streptomyces sp. M2CJ-2. Its description in RNAcentral is "tRNA-Pro". Lineage: Bacteria; Bacillati; Actinomycetota; Actinomycetes; Kitasatosporales; Streptomycetaceae. The record is from RNAcentral.